Molecule: ribosomal RNA, 513 nt
Filed under: Cophixalus ornatus (ornate frog)
Lineage: Eukaryota; Metazoa; Chordata; Amphibia; Anura; Microhylidae
Description: partial 16S ribosomal RNA
Rfam family: Bacterial large subunit ribosomal RNA
Source: RNAcentral
GCCUUCUGUAAUUAAUAGGAGGUCCAGCCUGCCCAGUGAUAAACUUAAACGGCCGCGGUAUUCUGACCGUGCAAAGGUAGCAUAAUCACUUGUUCUUUAAAUCAGGACUAGUAUGAAUGGCAUCACGAGGGCUUUCCUGUCUCCCCCCUUUAAUCAAUGAAACUAAUCCCCCCGUGAAGAGGCGGGGAUAAGCCCAUAAGACGAGAAGACCCCAUGGAGCUUUAAACAAGUAUCGCUUGCACCACCCAACAUCCUUCAAACUCAGCAAGCCCGUCCUACUAGUUUUUGGUUGGGGUGACCGCGGAGUAAAAUAAAACCUCCACGAUGAAAGAGAUAACCCUAAUUAAAGAGCCACAACUCGUAAGAAUCAAUAUAUUGACUUUAAUUGACCCAACACCUUGAACAACGAACCAAGUUACCCUGGGGGUAACAGCGCAAUCCAUUCCAAGAGUCCAUAUCGACAAAUGGGUUUACGACCUCGAUGUUGGAUCAGGGUAUCCUGGUGGUGCAGCC